RNAcentral lists this ribosomal RNA (436 nucleotides) under Eupolyphaga yunnanensis. Its description in RNAcentral is "partial 16S ribosomal RNA". The record is from RNAcentral. Lineage: Eukaryota; Metazoa; Arthropoda; Insecta; Blattodea; Corydiidae.
UUCUUUUUGUUUUUAAUGUGAAGUAUAGCCUGCCCACUGAUUUAUUAAAGGGCCGCGGUAUUUUGACCGUGCAAAGGUAGCAUAAUCAUUAGUCUUUUAAUUGGAGGCUGGAAUGAAUGGCUGGAUGAGAUAAAAACUGUCUUAUUAUAAUUGGUUUAUAAUUUAACAUUUGGAUUAAAAGGUCUGAAUAUUUUUAUGGGACGAGAAGACCCUAUAGAAUUUAAUAACGUGGGUGUUAUGAUAUGUAGUUGGUUUAUUUUGAAUUAAUUUUUAUAGUUAUUUUGUUGGGGAGAUAGUGAGAAUUAAUUAACUCUUAUUUAGUGUUUAUAUUGAUGUAUAUACUUAGGAUCCGUUAUUAAUGAUUAUAAGAUUAAAUUACCUUAGGGAUAACAGCGUAAUCUUUUUGGAGAGUUCUAAUCGAUAAGGGGGGUUGCGA